This 508-nucleotide ribosomal RNA is filed under the name uncultured bacterium. RNAcentral's name for it is "partial 16S ribosomal RNA". It matches the Rfam family "Bacterial small subunit ribosomal RNA", at positions 30 to 523 of the family's 1533-position model. The record is from RNAcentral.
AUUGAACGCUGGCGGCAUGCCUUACACAUGCAAGUCGAACGGCAGCGGGGGAGAAGCUUGCUCUUCCUGCCGGCGAGUGGCGAACGGGUGAGUAAUACAUCGGAACGUGCCCUGUAGUGGGGGAUAACUAGUCGAAAGAUUAGCUAAUACCGCAUACGACCUGAGGGUGAAAGUGGGGGACCGCAAGGCCUCAUGCUAUAGGAACGGCCGAUGGCUGAUUAGCUAGUUGGUGGGGUAAAGGCCUACCAAGGCGACGAUCAGUAGCUGGUCUGAGAGGACGAUCAGCCACACUGGGACUGAGACACGGCCCAGACUCCUACGGGAGGCAGCAGUGGGGAAUUUUGGACAAUGGGCGAAAGCCUGAUCCAGCAAUGCCGCGUGUGUGAAGAAGGCCUUCGGGUUGUAAAGCACUUUUGUCCGGAAAGAAAUGGCUCUGGUUAAUACCUGGGGUCGAUGACGGUACCGGAAGAAUAAGGACCGGCUAACUACGUGCCAGCCGCCGCCGUAA